AUUAUAAUUUAUUAGUGGCAGAGCAUCUGUCUUGCAUGCAGAAGGUCCAGGUUCAAUCCCUGGCUUCUCCA
This is a non-coding RNA of Podarcis lilfordi (Lilford's wall lizard), 71 nucleotides long. The record is from the annotation of a GenBank genome assembly. Lineage: Eukaryota; Metazoa; Chordata; Lepidosauria; Squamata; Lacertidae.